RNAcentral lists this ribosomal RNA (449 nucleotides) under uncultured organism. RNAcentral's name for it is "partial 16S ribosomal RNA". It matches the Rfam family "Bacterial small subunit ribosomal RNA", at positions 334 to 799 of the family's 1533-position model. The record is from RNAcentral.
CACUCCUACGGGAGGCAGCAGUGGGGAAUAUUGGACAAUGGGCGCAAGCCUGAUCCAGCCAUGCCGCGUGAGUGAUGAAGGCCCUAGGGUUGUAAAGCUCUUUCACCGGUGAAGAUAAUGACGGUAACCGGAGAAGAAGCCCCGGCUAACUUCGUGCCAGCAGCCGCGGUAAUACGAAGGGGGCUAGCGUUGUUCGGAUUUACUGGGCGUAAAGCGCACGUAGGCGGACUAUUAAGUCAGGGGUGAAAUCCCGGGGCUCAACCCCGGAACUGCCUUUGAUACUGGUAGUCUUGAGUUCGAGAGAGGUGAGUGGAAUUCCGAGUGUAGAGGUGAAAUUCGUAGAUAUUCGGAGGAACACCAGUGGCGAAGGCGGCUCACUGGCUCGAUACUGACGCUGAGGUGCGAAAGCGUGGGGAGCAAACAGGAUUAGAUACCCCGGUAGUCCCAUG